RNAcentral lists this ribosomal RNA (442 nucleotides) under uncultured bacterium. RNAcentral describes it as "partial 16S ribosomal RNA". It matches the Rfam family "Bacterial small subunit ribosomal RNA", at positions 338 to 795 of the family's 1533-position model. The record is from RNAcentral.
CCUACGGGUGGCAGCAGUGGGGAAUAUUGGGCAAUGGUCGCAAGCCUGACCCAGCAACGCCGCGUGAAGGAAGAAGGCUUUCGGGUUGUAAACUUCUUUUCUGGGGGACGAACAAAUGACGGUACCCCAGGAAUAAGCCACGGCUAACUACGUGCCAGCAGCCGCGGUAAUACGGAGGUGGCAAGCGUUAUCCGGAUUUAUUGGGUGUAAAGGGCGUGUAGGCGGGAAUGGAAGUCAGAUGUGAAAACUCAGGGCUCAACCCUGAGCCUGCAUUUGAAACUGUGGUUCUUGAGUGCUGGAGAGGCAAUCGGAAUUCGGGGUGUAGCGGUGAAAUGCGUAGAUAUACGGAGGAACACCAGUGGCGAAGGCGGAUUGCUGGACAGUAACUGACGCUGAGGCGCGAAAGCGUGGGGAGCAAACAGGAUUAGAUACCCUAGUAGUC